AUUGAACGCUGGCGGCAUGCUUUACACAUGCAAGUCGAACGGCAGCGCGGGGGCAACCCUGGCGGCGAGUGGCGAACGGGUGAGUAAUGCAUCGGAACGUAUCCUGUAAUGGGGGAUAACGUAGCGAAAGUUACGCUAAUACCGCAUACGCUCGAGAGAGGAAAGUGGGGGAUCGCAAGACCUCACGUUAUAGGAGCGGCCGAUGUCCGAUUAGCUAGUUGGUGGGGUAAAGGCCUACCAAGGCGACGAUCGGUAGCUGGUCUGAGAGGAUGAUCAGCCACACUGGGACUGAGACACGGCCCAGACUCCUACGGGAGGCAGCAGUGGGGAAUUUUGGACAAUGGGCGAAAGCCUGAUCCAGCCAUGCCGCGUGCGGAAGAAGGCCU
Molecule: ribosomal RNA, 386 nt
Filed under: uncultured bacterium
Lineage: Bacteria
Description: bacterial SSU rRNA
Rfam family: Bacterial small subunit ribosomal RNA
Source: RNAcentral